AUGGCUCGCAAGAAGGUAACCCUCCAGUACAUCCCCAAUGUCUCGACCCGACGUGGUACCUUCAAGAAGCGUCGUAGGGGCCUUAUGAAGAAGGCCAGCGAGCUAGCCAUCCUGUGUGACGUCAGGGCCUGCGUGCUGGUGUAUGGCGAAGGCGAGACGACACCGGAGGUGUUCCCAUCCCAUGAUGGGGCCGUGAAAAUCUUGAACAUCUUCAAGAAAAUGCCAGAGCUGGAGCAGUGCAAGAAGAUGAUGAACCAGGAGGGCUUUCUCCGUCAGCGCAUCGACAAGCUCCGGGACCAGGUACACAAGUUCGGUCGUGAGUUUCGGGAGCAGGAGAUCAGAACCCUCCUGCUCAAGGCCAUGUGCGGCAACCUCCCCGACCUCGUCAGCCUCAACAUUGAGGAGCUCACCAGCGUUGGCUGGAAGGUGGAAAUGCUCCUCAACGGCAUCGGCGAUCGCAUCACGAAACUCCAGGGACAGCCUCCGGCUCCACACAUGAUCGACAGCAUGGACAUGGGGUCUCCGGCGAUAAAUCAGGCGCCGCCUGCGCAGGAGGGCUGGCUUGACAUGGUGAGGUCUGGAGGGGACCUCAGUGCUCUUGUCUGUAGUGGCUACUUUGGUAGCCAUGAGGCUACAAGCACCAGCUCCAGCGUCGGCUACUCCGGCGGUGAUAUGAUGCAACCCUUUGAUCUGGGGUUCGGUUGGCAGUGGGACACCGAUCUUGGAGCGUCUUCGAGUCUGUUCCUUCCCAUGUAG
RNAcentral lists this ribosomal RNA (756 nucleotides) under Triticum aestivum (bread wheat). RNAcentral describes it as "partial small subunit ribosomal RNA". The record is from RNAcentral. Lineage: Eukaryota; Viridiplantae; Streptophyta; Magnoliopsida; Poales; Poaceae.